Molecule: ribosomal RNA, 496 nt
Filed under: uncultured bacterium
Lineage: Bacteria
Description: partial 16S ribosomal RNA
Rfam family: Bacterial small subunit ribosomal RNA
Source: RNAcentral
AUUGAACGCUGGCGGAAUGCUUUACACAUGCAAGUCGAACGGUAGAGGGGGCAACCCCUCGAGAGUGGCGAACGGGUGAGUAAUAUAUCGGAACGUGCCCAGUCGUGGGGGAUAACGUAGCGAAAGUUACGCUAAUACCGCAUACGAUCUAAGGAUGAAAGCGGGGGAUCGCAAGACCUCGCGCGAUUGGAGCGGCCGAUACCAGAUUAGGUAGUUGGUGGGGUAAAGGCUCACCAAGCCAACGAUCUGUAGCUGGCCUGAGAGGACGACCAGCCACACUGGAACUGAGACACGGUCCAGACUCCUACGGGAGGCAGCAGUGGGGAAUUUUGGACAAUGGACGCAAGUCUGAUCCAGCCAUUCCGCGUGCAGGAUGAAGGCCCUCGAGUUGUAAACUGCUUUUGUACGGAACGAAAAGGUCUCUCUUAAUACGGGGGGCUCAUGACGGUACCGUAAGAAUAAGCACCGGCUAACUACGUGCCAGCAGCCGCGGUAA